CUAACGGCUGAACCAGCAACUUGGAGGAAUGUAUAGCUACGGCUAAUUGUGUAUAACUACACGAUAUCGACUCUGUCGAAUAAAAUUCUGGGUAAAUUAUGAUGAUGACAUUUUUUACCUAUGUGUCUUGACCAAAUUGUGUGCCAGCAGUCGCGGUAAUACAUAGAAGACUAGUGUUAUUCAUCUUUAAUAGGUUUAAAGGGUACCUAGACGGUAGAUCAAGCCCUAGACGGGACUAAUUUGCUAGAGUUACUUAUGAGGGGGCUUUAAAGUACUAUUGGUGUAGAGAUAAAAUUUUGUAAUACCAUUUUUCGUAAAGAAAAAU
This 325-nucleotide ribosomal RNA is filed under the name Ramalina farinacea. Its description in RNAcentral is "SSU rRNA". Lineage: Eukaryota; Fungi; Ascomycota; Lecanoromycetes; Lecanorales; Ramalinaceae. The record is from RNAcentral.